Molecule: ribosomal RNA, 460 nt
Filed under: uncultured bacterium
Lineage: Bacteria
Description: partial 16S ribosomal RNA
Rfam family: Bacterial small subunit ribosomal RNA
Source: RNAcentral
CCUACGGGGGGCAGCAGUGAGGAAUAUUGGUCAAUGGGCGGGAGCCUGAACCAGCCAAGUCGCGUGAGGGAAGACGGUCCUAUGGAUUGUAAACCUCUUUAGGCGGGGAGCAAUGCCGGGCACGCGUGCCCGGAGGGAUAGUACCCGCAGAAUAAGCAUCGGCUAACUCCGUGCCAGCAGCCGCGGUAAUACGGAGGAUGCGAGCGUUAUCCGGAUUUAUUGGGUUAAAGGGGUGCGUAGGCGGGUUUUUAAGUCAGCGGUAAAAUGUCCGGGCUCAACCCGGGCCGGCCGUUGAAACUGGGGAUCUUGAGUGGGCGAGAAGGGUGCGGAAUGCGUGGUGUAGCGGUGAAAUGCAUAGAUAUGACGAAGAACUCCGAUUGCGAAGGCAGCAUACCGGAAACCGACUGACGCUGAGGUACGAAAGCGUGGGGAUCGAACAGGAUUAGAUACCCCUGUAGUC